AUGAACGCUGGCGGCGUGCCUAAUCCAUGCAAGUCGAGCGAACGGACGAGAAGCUUGCUUCUCUGAUGUUAGCGGCGGACGGGUGAGUAACACGUGGAUAACCUACCUAUAAGACUGGGAUAACUUCGGGAAACCGUAGCUAAUACCGGAUAAUAUUUUGAACCGCAUGGUUCAAAAGUGAAAGACGGUCUUGCUGUCACUUAUAGAUGGAUCCGCGCUGCAUUAGCUAGUUGGUAAGGUAACGGCUUACCAAGGCAACGAUGCAUAGCCGACCUGAGAGGGUGAUCGGCCACACUGGAACUGAGACACGGUCCAGACUCCUACGGGAGGCAGCAGUAGGGAAUCUUCCGCAAUGGGCGAAAGCCUGACGGAGCAACGCCGCGUGAGUGAUGAAGGUCUUCGGAUCGUAAAACUCUGUUAUUAGGGAAGAGCAUAUGUGUAAGUAACUGUGCACAUCUUGACGGUACCUAAUCAGAAAGCCACGGCUAACUACGUG
This 496-nucleotide ribosomal RNA is filed under the name uncultured bacterium. RNAcentral describes it as "partial 16S ribosomal RNA". It matches the Rfam family "Bacterial small subunit ribosomal RNA", at positions 29 to 507 of the family's 1533-position model. The record is from RNAcentral.